UUAAGCGACUAAGCGUACACGGUGGAUGCCCUGGCAGUCAGAGGCGAUGAAGGACGUGCUAAUCUGCGAAAAGCGCCGGCGAGGUGAUAUGAACCUUUGACCCGGCGAUGUCCGAAUGGGGAAACCCAGUGCAAUUCGUUGCACUAUCGUUAACUGAAUACAUAGGUUAACGAGGCGAACCGGGGGAACUGAAACAUCUAAGUACCCCGAGGAAAAGAAAUCAACCGAGAUUCCCCCAGUAGCGGCGAGCGAACGGGGAGCAGCCCAGAGUCUGAAUCAGCUUGUGUGUUAGUGGAAGCGUCUGGAAAGUCGCACGGUACAGGGUGACAGUCCCGUACACGAAAGCACACAGGCUGUGAACUCGAAGAGUAGGGCGGGACACGUGGUAUCCUGUCUGAAUAUGGGGGGACCAUCCUCCAAGGCUAAAUACUCCUGACUGACCGAUAGUGAACCAGUACCGUGAGGGAAAGGCGAAAAGAACCCCGGCGAGGGGAGUGAAAAAGAACCUGAAACCGUGUACGUACAAGCAGUGGGAGCACCUUCGUGGUGUGACUGCGUACCUUUUGUAUAAUGGGUCAGCGACUUAUAUUCUGUAGCAAGGUUAACCGUAUAGGGGAGCCGAAGGGAAACCGAGUCUUAACUGGGCGUUAAGUUGCAGGGUAUAGACCCGAAACCCGGUGAUCUAGCCAUGGGCAGGUUGAAGGUUGGGUAACACUAACUGGAGGACCGAACCGACUAAUGUUGAAAAAUUAGCGGAUGACUUGUGGCUGGGGGUGAAAGGCCAAUCAAACCGGGAGAUAGCUGGUUCUCCCCGAAAGCUAUUUAGGUAGCGCCUCGUGAACUCAUCUUCGGGGGUAGAGCACUGUUUCGGCUAGGGGGCCAUCCCGGCUUACCAACCCGAUGCAAACUACGAAUACCGAAGAAUGUUAUCACGGGAGACACACGGCGGGUGCUAACGUCCGUCGUGAAGAGGGAAACAACCCAGACCGCCAGCUAAGGUCCCAAAGUCAUGGUUAAGUGGGAAACGAUGUGGGAAGGCACAGACAGCCAGGAUGUUGGCUUAGAAGCAGCCAUCAUUUAAAGAAAGCGUAAUAGCUCACUGGUCGAGUCGGCCUGCGCGGAAGAUGUAACGGGGCUAAACCAUGCACCGAAGCUGCGGCAGCGACGCGUAUGCGUUGUUGGGUAGGGGAGCGUUCUGUAAGCCGUUGAAGGUGUGCUGUGAGGCAUGCUGGAGGUAUCAGAAGUGCGAAUGCUGACAUAAGUAACGAUAAAGCGGGUGAAAAGCCCGCUCGCCGGAAGACCAAGGGUUCCUGUCCAACGUUAAUCGGGGCAGGGUGAGUCGACCCCUAAGGCGAGGCCGAAAGGCGUAGUCGAUGGGAAACAGGUUAAUAUUCCUGUACUUGGUGUUACUGCGAAGGGGGGACGGAGAAGGCUAUGUUAGCCGGGCGACGGUUGUCCCGGUUUAAGCAUGUAGGCGGAGGUUCCAGGUAAAUCCGGUACCUUUUAACGCUGAGGUGUGAUGACGAGGCACUACGGUGCUGAAGUAACAAAUGCCCUGCUUCCAGGAAAAGCCUCUAAGCAUCAGGUAACACGAAAUCGUACCCCAAACCGACACAGGUGGUCAGGUAGAGAAUACCAAGGCGCUUGAGAGAACUCGGGUGAAGGAACUAGGCAAAAUGGUGCCGUAACUUCGGGAGAAGGCACGCUGAUAUGUAGGUGAAGCCCCUGCGGGUGGAGCUGAAAUCAGUCGAAGAUACCAGCUGGCUGCAACUGUUUAUUAAAAACACAGCACUGUGCAAACACGAAAGUGGACGUAUACGGUGUGACGCCUGCCCGGUGCCGGAAGGUUAAUUGAUGGGGUUAGCGGCAACGCGAAGCUCUUGAUCGAAGCCCCGGUAAACGGCGGCCGUAACUAUAACGGUCCUAAGGUAGCGAAAUUCCUUGUCGGGUAAGUUCCGACCUGCACGAAUGGCGUAAUGAUGGCCAGGCUGUCUCCACCCGAGACUCAGUGAAAUUGAACUCGCUGUGAAGAUGCAGUGUACCCGCGGCAAGACGGAAAGACCCCGUGAACCUUUACUAUAGCUUGACACUGAACACUGGUCCUUGAUGUGUAGGAUAGGUGGGAGGCUUUGAAGCGUGGACGCCAGUCUGCGUGGAGCCGUCCUUGAAAUACCACCCUUUAAUGGCUGGUGUUCUAACGUAGACCCGUGAUCCGGGUUGCGGACAGUGUCUGGUGGGUAGUUUGACUGGGGCGGUCUCCUCCCAAAGAGUAACGGAGGAGCACGAAGGUUAGCUAAUCCUGGUCGGACAUCAGGAGGUUAGUGCAAUGGCAUAAGCUAGCUUGACUGCGAGAGUGACGGCUCGAGCAGGUGCGAAAGCAGGUCAUAGUGAUCCGGUGGUUCUGAAUGGAAGGGCCAUCGCUCAACGGAUAAAAGGUACUCCGGGGAUAACAGGCUGAUACCGCCCAAGAGUUCAUAUCGACGGCGGUGUUUGGCACCUCGAUGUCGGCUCAUCACAUCCUGGGGCUGAAGUAGGUCCCAAGGGUAUGGCUGUUCGCCAUUUAAAGUGGUACGCGAGCUGGGUUUAGAACGUCGUGAGACAGUUCGGUCCCUAUCUGCCGUGGGCGCUGGAGAAUUGAGGGGGGCUGCUCCUAGUACGAGAGGACCGGAGUGGACGCAUCACUGGUGUUCGGGUUGUCAUGCCAAUGGCACUGCCCGGUAGCUAAAUGCGGAAAAGAUAAGUGCUGAAAGCAUCUAAGCACGAAACUUGCCCCGAGAUGAGUUCUCCCUGACCCUUUAAGGGUCCUGAAGGAACGUUGAAGACGACGACGUUGAUAGGUCGGGUGUGUAAGCGCAGCGAUGCGUUGAGCUAACCGAUACUAAUGAACCGUGAGGCUUAACCU
RNAcentral lists this ribosomal RNA (2902 nucleotides) under Enterobacter asburiae. RNAcentral's name for it is "23S ribosomal RNA". It matches the Rfam family "Bacterial large subunit ribosomal RNA". Lineage: Bacteria; Pseudomonadati; Pseudomonadota; Gammaproteobacteria; Enterobacterales; Enterobacteriaceae. The record is from RNAcentral.